Pongo pygmaeus (Bornean orangutan) is the source of this 525-nucleotide long non-coding RNA. RefSeq lists it as uncharacterized. The record is from RefSeq and is a predicted model, not a curated record. Lineage: Eukaryota; Metazoa; Chordata; Mammalia; Primates; Hominidae. The transcript is spliced from 3 exons.
AAGAGGUUGCAGAACUUAGGCAAACAGUUAUGUUUACCAGUUUACUAUAAACAAGAUUACAAAGGAUACAGGUAAACAGUGAGAUGAAGAGUUACAUAGGGCAAGUCGUGUGAGAAGAGGUGCAGAGCUUCUGUGUUCUCACCAUCGAUGCCACCUUCCCAGCACCUUCAUGUGUUCAGCAACCUGGUCUGAAACUCCUGGGCUCAAGGAAUCCUCCCAAGAUGUGCGAUGCUUAUUGACCAUUCAAAGUAGGCAGAUGACUCGAAAUUCAGUGGAGAGAUUUAAGAGUAGUAUCCUGAGAAGAGGAAGCAACCAGAGCUCUCCCUCUGCCAUGUGAGAAGACAGUAGAAUGUGGCUGUCUGUAGCCAGAAAGAGAGCCUUACCAAGAACUAAAUUGGCUGGCACCUUAUUCUUGGACUUCCCAGCCUUCAGAUCUGUGAGAAAUAAACGGCUGUUGUUGAAGUCACCCAGUCUAUGGUGUUUUGUUAUAGCAACUGGAGAAGUCUAAGAGAAUACAGCAAAAUG